GGUUAAGCGACUAAGCGUACACGGUGGAUGCCCUGGCAGUCAGAGGCGAUGAAGGACGUGCUAAUCUGCGAUAAGCGUCGGUAAGGUGAUAUGAACCGUUAUAACCGGCGAUUUCCGAAUGGGGAAACCCAGUGUGAUUCGUCACACUAUCAUUAACUGAAUCCAUAGGUUAAUGAGGCGAACCGGGGGAACUGAAACAUCUAAGUACCCCGAGGAAAAGAAAUCAACCGAGAUUCCCCCAGUAGCGGCGAGCGAACGGGGAGGAGCCCAGAGCCUGAAUCAGUGUGUGUGUUAGUGGAAGCGUCUGGAAAGGCGCGCGAUACAGGGUGACAGCCCCGUACACAAAAAUGCACAUGCUGUGAGCUCGAUGAGUAGGGCGGGACACGUGGUAUCCUGUCUGAAUAUGGGGGGACCAUCCUCCAAGGCUAAAUACUCCUGACUGACCGAUAGUGAACCAGUACCGUGAGGGAAAGGCGAAAAGAACCCCGGCGAGGGGAGUGAAAAAGAACCUGAAACCGUGUACGUACAAGCAGUGGGAGCCUCUUUAUGGGGUGACUGCGUACCUUUUGUAUAAUGGGUCAGCGACUUAUAUUCUGUAGCAAGGUUAACCGAAUAGGGGAGCCGAAGGGAAACCGAGUCUUAACUGGGCGUUAAGUUGCAGGGUAUAGACCCGAAACCCGGUGAUCUAGCCAUGGGCAGGUUGAAGGUUGGGUAACACUAACUGGAGGACCGAACCGACUAAUGUUGAAAAAUUAGCGGAUGACUUGUGGCUGGGGGUGAAAGGCCAAUCAAACCGGGAGAUAGCUGGUUCUCCCCGAAAGCUAUUUAGGUAGCGCCUCGUGAAUUCAUCUCCGGGGGUAGAGCACUGUUUCGGCAAGGGGGUCAUCCCGACUUACCAACCCGAUGCAAACUGCGAAUACCGGAGAAUGUUAUCACGGGAGACACACGGCGGGUGCUAACGUCCGUCGUGAAGAGGGAAACAACCCAGACCGCCAGCUAAGGUCCCAAAGUCAUGGUUAAGUGGGAAACGAUGUGGGAAGGCCCAGACAGCCAGGAUGUUGGCUUAGAAGCAGCCAUCAUUUAAAGAAAGCGUAAUAGCUCACUGGUCGAGUCGGCCUGCGCGGAAGAUGUAACGGGGCUAAACCAUGCACCGAAGCUGCGGCAGCGACACUAUGUGUUGUUGGGUAGGGGAGCGUUCUGUAAGCCUGUGAAGGUGUGCUGUGAGGCAUGCUGGAGGUAUCAGAAGUGCGAAUGCUGACAUAAGUAACGAUAAAGCGGGUGAAAAGCCCGCUCGCCGGAAGACCAAGGGUUCCUGUCCAACGUUAAUCGGGGCAGGGUGAGUCGACCCCUAAGGCGAGGCCGAAAGGCGUAGUCGAUGGGAAACAGGUUAAUAUUCCUGUACUUGGUGUUACUGCGAAGGGGGGACGGAGAAGGCUAUGUUGGCCGGGCGACGGUUGUCCCGGUUUAAGCGUGUAGGCUGGUUUUCCAGGCAAAUCCGGAAAAUCAAGGCUGAGGCGUGAUGACGAGGCACUACGGUGCUGAAGCAACAAAUGCCCUGCUUCCAGGAAAAGCCUCUAAGCAUCAGGUAACAUCAAAUCGUACCCCAAACCGACACAGGUGGUCAGGUAGAGAAUACCAAGGCGCUUGAGAGAACUCGGGUGAAGGAACUAGGCAAAAUGGUGCCGUAACUUCGGGAGAAGGCACGCUGAUAUGUAGGUGAAGCGACUUGCUCGUGGAGCUGAAAUCAGUCGAAGAUACCAGCUGGCUGCAACUGUUUAUUAAAAACACAGCACUGUGCAAACACGAAAGUGGACGUAUACGGUGUGACGCCUGCCCGGUGCCGGAAGGUUAAUUGAUGGGGUCAGCGCAAGCGAAGCUCUUGAUCGAAGCCCCGGUAAACGGCGGCCGUAACUAUAACGGUCCUAAGGUAGCGAAAUUCCUUGUCGGGUAAGUUCCGACCUGCACGAAUGGCGUAAUGAUGGCCAGGCUGUCUCCACCCGAGACUCAGUGAAAUUGAACUCGCUGUGAAGAUGCAGUGUACCCGCGGCAAGACGGAAAGACCCCGUGAACCUUUACUAUAGCUUGACACUGAACAUUGAGCCUUGAUGUGUAGGAUAGGUGGGAGGCUUUGAAGUGUGGACGCCAGUCUGCAUGGAGCCGACCUUGAAAUACCACCCUUUAAUGUUUGAUGUUCUAACGUUGGCCCCUGAUCGGGGUUGCGGACAGUGUCUGGUGGGUAGUUUGACUGGGGCGGUCUCCUCCUAAAGAGUAACGGAGGAGCACGAAGGUUGGCUAAUCCUGGUCGGACAUCAGGAGGUUAGUGCAAUGGCAUAAGCCAGCUUGACUGCGAGCGUGACGGCGCGAGCAGGUGCGAAAGCAGGUCAUAGUGAUCCGGUGGUUCUGAAUGGAAGGGCCAUCGCUCAACGGAUAAAAGGUACUCCGGGGAUAACAGGCUGAUACCGCCCAAGAGUUCAUAUCGACGGCGGUGUUUGGCACCUCGAUGUCGGCUCAUCACAUCCUGGGGCUGAAGUAGGUCCCAAGGGUAUGGCUGUUCGCCAUUUAAAGUGGUACGCGAGCUGGGUUUAGAACGUCGUGAGACAGUUCGGUCCCUAUCUGCCGUGGGCGCUGGAGAACUGAGGGGGGCUGCUCCUAGUACGAGAGGACCGGAGUGGACGCAUCACUGGUGUUCGGGUUGUCAUGCCAAUGGCACUGCCCGGUAGCUAAAUGCGGAAGAGAUAAGUGCUGAAAGCAUCUAAGCACGAAACUUGCCCCGAGAUGAGUUCUCCCUGACUCCCUGAGAGUCCUGAAGGAACGUUGAAGACGACGACGUUGAUAGGCCGGGUGUGUAAGCGCAGCGAUGCGUUGAGCUAACCGGUACUAAUGAACCGUGAGGCUUAACCUU
Molecule: ribosomal RNA, 2902 nt
Filed under: Escherichia coli
Lineage: Bacteria; Pseudomonadati; Pseudomonadota; Gammaproteobacteria; Enterobacterales; Enterobacteriaceae
Description: 23S ribosomal RNA
Rfam family: Bacterial large subunit ribosomal RNA
Source: RNAcentral